AUUGAACGCUGGCGGCAUGCCUAACACAUGCAAGUCGAACGGUAACAGGAAGCAGCUUGCUGCUUCGCUGACGAGUGGCGGACGGGUGUGUCAUGUCUGGGAAACUGCCUGAUGGAGGGGGAUAACUACUGGAAACGGUAGCUAAUACCGCAUAACUUCUCAAGACCAAAGAGGGGGACCUUAGGGCCUUUUUCCUUCGGAUUUGCCCAGAUGGGAUUAGCUAGUAGGUGGGGUAACGGCUCACCUAGGCGACGAUCCCUAGCUGGUCUGAGAGGGUGACCAGCCACACUGGAACUGAGACACGGUCCAGACUCCUACGGGAGGCAGCAGUGGGGAAUAUCGCGCAAUGGGCGAAAGCCUGAUGCAGCAAUGCCGCGUGUAUGAAGAAGGCCUUCGGGUUGUAAAGUACUUUCAGCGGGGAGGAAGGAAGGAAAGUUAAUACCUGUGCUCAUUGACGUUACCCGCAGAAGAAGCCCCGGCUAACUCCGUG
RNAcentral lists this ribosomal RNA (490 nucleotides) under uncultured bacterium. RNAcentral's name for it is "partial 16S ribosomal RNA". It matches the Rfam family "Bacterial small subunit ribosomal RNA", at positions 30 to 507 of the family's 1533-position model. The record is from RNAcentral.